AGCACCACUCACCAUGUCCUCAGGCACAACCCAGCUCAGGGCCACGGCCACCACCCUCAUCCUUUGCUGCCUCAUCAUCAUCCUCCCCUGCUUCAUCCUCCCUGGCAUCUGAGGAGAGUCCUUUAGAGUGACAGGUUAAAGAUGACACCAAAAAGCCCCUGUGAGCAGGGUCUCAAUCAAACUCGCCCUUCUGGCUGGUGACUUGCCCACCACCUACUGUGUAUGUCCAGAGGCCUCCAGCAGAUCAUGAUGACACCAUGGACCCAAUAGCUCAUUCACUGCCUUGAUUCCUUUUGCCGACAAUUUUACCAGUGGUUAUUCCUAACAUAUUAUGCAAUUUUCUCUUGGUGCUACCUGAUGGAAUUUUUGCACUUAAAGUUCUGGCUGACUAAACAAGAUAUGUCAACAUUUUUUUUUCUUCUGCUUUUGUUUGGAAAAUCAAGUACUUCUUUGAAUGAUGAUCUCUUUCUUGCAAAUGAUAUUGUCAGUAAAACAAUCAUGUUAGACUUCGGACCUCCAGGGAUUCCUCCCAUGUUUUGAAAGAAAAAUGUUUAAUUAUUUAAUAACAAAAAAUUUUAUAUUAAUGAUAGUUUCCUUUAGUAAUUUAUUGCUCUGUAUUGGUAUUGAAAUAAAAAGUUAUAUUUCCCAAAAA
This is a long non-coding RNA of Piliocolobus tephrosceles (Ugandan red Colobus), 652 nucleotides long. RefSeq lists it as uncharacterized. The transcript has 2 exons. The record is from RefSeq and is a predicted model, not a curated record. Lineage: Eukaryota; Metazoa; Chordata; Mammalia; Primates; Cercopithecidae.